CAAUAACGUAUAUUAAAAUUGUUGCGGUCAGAAAGCUCGUAGUUGGAUUUCUGCCGAGGACGUCUGGUCCACCCUCUGGGUGUGUACAUGGCUCGGCCUGGGCAUCUUCUUGGGGUCCGUAUCUGCACUUGACUGUGUGGUGCGGAAUCCAGGACUUCUACUUUGAGGAAAUUAGAAUGCUUCAAACAGGCACGCGCCUUGAAUACAUUAGCAUGGAUAAAUAAGAUAGGACCUCGGUUCUAUGCUGUUGGUUUCUAGAGCUGAGGUAGUGAUUAGUAGGGAUAGUUUAGGGCAUUCGCAUUUAAGUGUCAGAGGUGAGCCUUUUGGAUUUGUUAAAAACAGAAUACUGCGAGGGCAUUUGCCAAGGAUGUUUCCAUUGA
This 380-nucleotide ribosomal RNA is filed under the name uncultured eukaryote. Its description in RNAcentral is "partial 18S ribosomal RNA". It matches the Rfam family "Eukaryotic small subunit ribosomal RNA", at positions 592 to 976 of the family's 1831-position model. The record is from RNAcentral.